Molecule: ribosomal RNA, 526 nt
Filed under: uncultured bacterium
Lineage: Bacteria
Description: partial 16S ribosomal RNA
Rfam family: Bacterial small subunit ribosomal RNA
Source: RNAcentral
UGGGGAAUUUUGGACAAUGGGCGAAAGCCUGAUCCAGCAAUGCCGCGUGUGUGAAGAAGGCCUUCGGGUUGUAAAGCACUUUUGUCCGGAAAGAAAUCCUCUGGGUUAAUACCUCGGGGGGAUGACGGUACCGGAAGAAUAAGCACCGGCUAACUACGUGCCAGCAGCCGCGGUAAUACGUAGGGUGCAAGCGUUAAUCGGAAUUACUGGGCGUAAAGCGUGCGCAGGCGGUUUUGUAAGACGGAUGUGAAAUCCCCGGGCUUAACCUGGGAACUGCAUUCGUGACUGCAAGGCUAGAGUAUGGCAGAGGGGGGUAGAAUUCCACGUGUAGCAGUGAAAUGCGUAGAGAUGUGGAGGAAUACCGAUGGCGAAGGCAGCCCCCUGGGCCAAUACUGACGCUCAUGCACGAAAGCGUGGGGAGCAAACAGGAUUAGAUACCCUGGUAGUCCACGCCCUAAACGAUGUCAACUAGUUGUUGGGGAUUCAUUUCCUUAGUAACGUAGCUAACGCGUGAAGUUGACCGCCU